RNAcentral lists this small RNA (106 nucleotides) under Marmota monax (woodchuck). The record is from RNAcentral. Lineage: Eukaryota; Metazoa; Chordata; Mammalia; Rodentia; Sciuridae.
GCCAGGCAUGGUAGCACAUGCCUGUAAUCCCAGCUGCUCCAGAGGCUGAGGCAGGAGGAUGGCAUGUUGAAGGAAGCCUCAGCACCUUAGUGAGAUCCUGCCUCAA